This is a long non-coding RNA of Onychomys torridus (southern grasshopper mouse), 530 nucleotides long. RefSeq lists it as uncharacterized. Lineage: Eukaryota; Metazoa; Chordata; Mammalia; Rodentia; Cricetidae. The transcript has 3 exons. The record is from RefSeq and is a predicted model, not a curated record.
UAAACAAGAACAUGAAGCCUUCUGGCUCUUGGGCUGGAAAGCAAGUCCUAACCUGGAAUACUAGAGUCCUGAGAGAGCCCUGCCUCAAAGAGCUCCCACUCUGGACUGGUGGGGAUUGGUGCUAACUUUGGAAGCAUUUGCAAUCAUGGGACAAAACUGCCUGCUCUGUUAAGAUAUCCCAGUGGCUAUGAACAGGAACCAAUGUUCCCAGAUGUGGGUCCCCGUUCCCCAGCCAGGAGGCCAGCAAAGCAGCAGAGGAGGCAAAUGCCGGAAGUCAGAUUAGACGGUCCUCCUCUCCCGCGGUCCGGCGGGAAUUUGGAAUGAAUUUGUGGAUUACUCAAAAGUCCUAACCCGGUGGUGGGGCCCCAGAGGGAGGGCGGGGGCGUGCACGUGUCUGUCAAUGCUAUACUUUAAAAGCCCACUUUGGGCAAGUUUUGAUGCUGCGCCCCGGCCAGAACCACAGGGGACGUGGAGGCGACAAAUGCUGGGCUCCCAGCGCUCCGAUCCCUCCCCGUCACUCACCCCGGAGU